This 257-nucleotide ribosomal RNA is filed under the name uncultured Scutellospora. RNAcentral describes it as "partial 18S ribosomal RNA". It matches the Rfam family "Eukaryotic small subunit ribosomal RNA", at positions 624 to 886 of the family's 1831-position model. The record is from RNAcentral. Lineage: Eukaryota; Fungi; Glomeromycota; Glomeromycetes; Diversisporales; Gigasporaceae.
AAGCUCGUAGUUGAAUUUCGGGGUUCUACCGUUGGUCGGGCUAACCAGUCUGUACUAGCGUGUAGAAUUCCUACCUUCUGGGGAACCAUCAUGUUAUUAAUUUAGCGUGGUGGGAAACCAGGACCUUUACCUUGAAAAAAUUAGAGUGUUCAAAGCAGGCUUACGUCUGAAUACAUUAGCAUAGAAUAAUAAAAUAGGACGGUGGUCCUGUUUUGUUGGUUUCUGAAUCACCGUAAUGAUUAAUAGGGAUAGUUGGG